GACGAACGCUGGCGGCGUGCUUAACACAUGCAAGUCGAACGGAAAGGCCCUGCUUUUGUGGGGUGCUCGAGUGGCGAACGGGUGAGUAACACGUGAGUAACCUGCCCUUGACUUUGGGAUAACUUCAGGAAACUGGGGCUAAUACCGGAUAGGAGCUCCUGCUGCAUGGUGGGGGUUGGAAAGUUUCGGCGGUUGGGGAUGGACUCGCGGCUUAUCAGCUUGUUGGUGGGGUAGUGGAUUACCAAGGCUUUGACGGGUAGCCGGGCUGAGAGGGUGACCGGCCACAUUGGGACUGGGAUACGGCCCAGACUACUACGGGAGGCAGCAGUGGGGAAUAUUGCACAAUGGGAGGGAGCCUGAUGCAGCAAAGCCGCGUGGGGGAUGACGGGCUUCGGGUUGUAAACCGCUUUCGCCUGUGACGAAGCGUGAGUGACGGUAAUGGGUAAAGAAGCACCGGCUAACUACGUG
This 468-nucleotide ribosomal RNA is filed under the name uncultured bacterium. RNAcentral describes it as "partial 16S ribosomal RNA". It matches the Rfam family "Bacterial small subunit ribosomal RNA", at positions 28 to 507 of the family's 1533-position model. The record is from RNAcentral.